GACGAACGCUGGCGGCGUGCUUAACACAUGCAAGUCGAACGGAAAGGCCCUGCUUUUGUGGGGUGCUCGAGUGGCGAACGGGUGAGUAACACGUGAGUAACCUGCCCUUGACUUUGGGAUAACUUCAGGAAACUGGGGCUAAUACCGGAUAGGAGCUCCUGCUGCAUGGUGGGGGUUGGAAAGUUUCGGCGGUUGGGGAUGGACUCGCGGCUUGUCAGCUUGUUGGUGGGGUAGUGGCUUAACAAGGCUUCGACGGGUAGCCGGCGUGAGAGGGUGAACGGACACCCUGGAACUGAGACACGGUCCAGACGCCUACGGGAGGCAGCAGUAGGGAAUCUUCCGCAAUGGGCGAAAGCCUGACGGAGCAACGCCGCGUGAGUGAUGACGGUCUUCGGAUCGUAAAACUCUGUUAUUAGGGAAGAACAAAUGUGUAAGUAACUAUGCACGUCUUGACGGUACCUGAUAAGAAAGCCACGGCUAACUACGUG
This 488-nucleotide ribosomal RNA is filed under the name uncultured bacterium. RNAcentral's name for it is "partial 16S ribosomal RNA". It matches the Rfam family "Bacterial small subunit ribosomal RNA", at positions 28 to 507 of the family's 1533-position model. The record is from RNAcentral.